RNAcentral lists this ribosomal RNA (501 nucleotides) under uncultured bacterium. Its description in RNAcentral is "partial 16S ribosomal RNA". It matches the Rfam family "Bacterial small subunit ribosomal RNA", at positions 30 to 523 of the family's 1533-position model. The record is from RNAcentral.
AUUGAACGCUGGCGGCAUGCCUUACACAUGCAAGUCGAACGGCAGCACGGGUGCUUGCACCUGGUGGCGAGUGGCGAACGGGUGAGUAAUACAUCGGAACGUACCUUAUCGUGGGGGAUAACGCAGCGAAAGCUGUGCUAAUACCGCAUACGACCUGAGGGGGAAAGCGGGGGAUCGCAAGACCUCGCGCGAUGAGAAGUGCAGAUGCCUGAUUAGCUUGUUGGUGGGGUAAAAGCCCACCAAGGAGACGAUCAGUAGCUGGUCUGAGAGGACGAUCAGCCACACUGGGACUGAGACACGGCCCAGACUCCUACGGGAGGCAGCAGUGGGGAAUUUUGGACAAUGGGGGCAACCCUGAUCCAGCAAUGCCGCGUGAGUGAAGAAGGCCUUCGGGUUGUAAAGCUCUUUUGUCAGGGAAGAAACACCGGCUCUAACACAGUCUGGGAAUGACGGUACCUGAAGAAUAAGCACCGGCUAACUACGUGCCAGCAGCCGCCGUAA